GGACGUUUAGCUCAGCUGGUUCAGAGCACUACUUUGACAGAGUAGGGGUCACUGGUUCGAAUCCAGUAACGUCCA
RNAcentral lists this transfer RNA (75 nucleotides) under Flavobacteriales bacterium. RNAcentral describes it as "tRNA-Val". It matches the Rfam family "tRNA". Rfam says of the family: Transfer RNA (tRNA) molecules are approximately 80 nucleotides in length. Their secondary structure includes four short double-helical elements and three loops (D, anti-codon, and T loops). Lineage: Bacteria; Pseudomonadati; Bacteroidota; Flavobacteriia; Flavobacteriales. The record is from RNAcentral.